GACCCAGUGGUGAAACGAAAUCACGCCCCCACGUUGUGUUGUCGGUAUGUAAUGUGUUUAAUUUAACCGUGGGACUCCCCUGUUCGAACCAGGGCUGGGUCA
Molecule: non-coding RNA, 102 nt
Organism: Mycena metata
Lineage: Eukaryota; Fungi; Basidiomycota; Agaricomycetes; Agaricales; Mycenaceae
Source: the annotation of a GenBank genome assembly